Molecule: non-coding RNA, 277 nt
Organism: Sturnus vulgaris (Common starling)
Lineage: Eukaryota; Metazoa; Chordata; Aves; Passeriformes; Sturnidae
Source: RefSeq, a predicted model, not a curated record
CACUUGACAGAGGCUGGUGAGGCCAGGGUGUUUUGCUGGUACUGGGGAGACAUCUGCAAAGCAACUUUCUUCAAGAGCCUCAUUCUCCCCAGCCAGUGCUGUCAGUUCUCAGGACCUGUCUGCUUGCUCCAAGCUUUCAGCAAGAUUGCGGGAAUGACUCUGUCUGUGUAUCCGUGUAACUAUUUUGUUAAUUCUUGAGGUGGAGCUGCUACUGUGUGUGAUAUGCUGGCUUGAUAAACUUUUUGGACUGAAGUGGAAGAAACUGUUAUUUGCAGAA